CCUACAUGAAGCUGGAGUUACUAGUAAUCGCAGAUCAGAAUGCUGCGGUGAAUGCGUUCCCGGGUCUUGUACACACCGCCCGUCACACCACGGAAGUUGGGGGCGCCCGAAGCCACUUAGCUAACCCUUUUGGGAAGCGAGUGUCGAAGGUGAAAUCAAUAACUGGGGUGAAGUCGUAACAAGGUAAC
RNAcentral lists this ribosomal RNA (188 nucleotides) under uncultured bacterium. RNAcentral's name for it is "partial 16S ribosomal RNA". It matches the Rfam family "Bacterial small subunit ribosomal RNA", at positions 1315 to 1500 of the family's 1533-position model. The record is from RNAcentral.